GAUGAAGAACGCAGCGAAAUGCGACAAGUAAUGUGAAUUGCAGAAUUCAGUGAAUCAUCGAAUCUUUGAACGCACAUUGCGCCCGCCAGUAUUCUGGCGGGCAUGCCUGUUCGAGCGUCAUUUCAACCAUCAAGCCCCCGGCUUGUGUUGGGGACCUGCGGCUGCCGCAGGCCCUGAAAACCAGUGGCGGGCUCGCUAGUCACUCCGAGCGUAGUAAUACAUCUCGCUCAGGGCGUGCUGCGGGUUCCGGCCGUUAAAAAGCCUUAUUUACCCAAGGUUGACCUCGGAUCAGGUAGGAAGACCCGCUGAACUUAAGCAUAUCAAUAAGCGGAGGA
Molecule: unclassified non-coding RNA, 335 nt
Filed under: soil metagenome
Description: partial contains 5.8S ribosomal RNA, internal transcribed spacer 2, and large subunit ribosomal RNA
Rfam family: 5.8S ribosomal RNA (bases 1-120)
Source: RNAcentral